UGUACUGAAAGGUAUAGUUGC
Molecule: non-coding RNA, 21 nt
Filed under: Caenorhabditis elegans
Lineage: Eukaryota; Metazoa; Nematoda; Chromadorea; Rhabditida; Rhabditidae
Source: RNAcentral